CAACUACAAAAGCCAGAUUGCUGACAGGAUAGGGGCUUUCCCCUCAUGGUUUCCUACUGUUUCUUUGUGGCCAUGCUGGCCCCUAUGGUGUUGGCUCUGGAACAGUCCCCGGACAUGGUGAUACAAAAAGGCCACUCUGUGAAUCUGAGAUGUUCCAAGAAGAAAUCCACCAGCACAGCUAUGUUCUGGUACAUGCUGCCUUCGGGGAAGGACUCCAGGCUGACCUUUGUGGCUUCUGCAGUGGAAGCUGGUAAUGCAAUUGUUGAGAAGGAUCUUGAGAGCCAUUUCAAGAUCAGUAACAUAGAAGGGGACAGUGUGACCCUCUCAAUAGAGCAUGCCUUUCUCAAUGAUUCUGGCAUGUAUUACUGUGCUGAGGGUGAAACACAGUGGCUAGGCUGCUGA
Non-coding RNA from Empidonax traillii (willow flycatcher), 402 nucleotides. The record is from the annotation of a RefSeq genome assembly. NCBI's taxonomy places the organism in Eukaryota, Metazoa, Chordata, Aves, Passeriformes, Tyrannidae.